Molecule: long non-coding RNA, 434 nt
Filed under: Equus asinus (donkey)
Lineage: Eukaryota; Metazoa; Chordata; Mammalia; Perissodactyla; Equidae
Description: lncRNA (ENSEASG00005037340.1)
Source: RNAcentral
CUUGUCCAUCAAGAAGACAAGUCUUCUUUCUGUUGGGCUCCGCUAUGGAGGUAGAGUGUGAGAACUACCCCUUUUGGUCUCUUGACUCCAUUUUAACGAGGUUUCGGUUUAUUAGUUUCUACAGUUUCUGAGAUCCCUAUCCAAACGUCCUCUUCUCCCUGGGCCAAUGGAAGCUUGCUUUGCCAGGUGAGAUGGAAGUGGACUCUCAGAUUGGCACUGAAAAGGAAGAAGAAUGGAGGGGGGGGUCCCAGGGGGGCCACUUACUUCCCAGUGAUUUUCUGGGCCUUUUUCCUCCUCCUUUUCCUCCCAAGUUUCGAAUAAAGACAGUUUCUUCUUUGAGAACGCUUACCAGUGCUCAGCUUGGUUCAAGGAUAAAAAGAGAGUCAGAAAUGAAUAAUUCUGAAUACUUUACUGUGGAAUUCUCCUAAUGUCCC